CGGCGGACGGGUGAGUAACGCGUGGGUAACCUGCCUCAUACAGGGGGAUAACAGUUAGAAAUGACUGCUAAUACCGCAUAAGACCACAGCACCGCAUGGUGCGGGGGUAAAAACUCCGGUGGUAUGAGAUGGACCCGCGUCUGAUUAGCUGGUUGGUAAGGUAACGGCUUACCAAGGCGACGAUCAGUAGCCGACCUGAGAGGGUGACCGGCCACAUUGGGACUGAGACACGGCCCAA
This 238-nucleotide ribosomal RNA is filed under the name uncultured bacterium. RNAcentral's name for it is "partial 16S ribosomal RNA". It matches the Rfam family "Bacterial small subunit ribosomal RNA", at positions 96 to 334 of the family's 1533-position model. The record is from RNAcentral.